GCCUUCGUGGUGUAAUGGUAGCACGCUUCACGUGUAUUCGAGAGUUCCAGGUUCGAGUCUCGGCGACGGCA
RNAcentral lists this transfer RNA (71 nucleotides) under Stegodyphus mimosarum. It matches the Rfam family "tRNA". Rfam says of the family: Transfer RNA (tRNA) molecules are approximately 80 nucleotides in length. Their secondary structure includes four short double-helical elements and three loops (D, anti-codon, and T loops). Lineage: Eukaryota; Metazoa; Arthropoda; Arachnida; Araneae; Eresidae. The record is from Rfam by way of RNAcentral.